GACGAACGCUGGCGGCGUGCUUAACACAUGCAAGUCGAACGGAAAGGCCCUGCUUUUGUGGGGUGCUCGAGUGGCGAACGGGUGAGUAACACGUGAGUAACCUGCCCUUGACUUUGGGAUAACUUCAGGAAACUGGGGCUAAUACCGGAUAGGAGCUCCUGCUGCAUGGUGGGGGUUGGAAAGUUUCGGCGGUUGGGGAUGGACUCGCGGCUUAUCAGCUUGUUGGUGGGGUAGUGGCUUACCAAGGCUUUGACGGGUAGCCGGCCUGAGAGGGUGACCGGCCACAUGGGGACUGAGAUACGGCCGAGACUCCUAGGGGAGGCAGCAGUGGGGAAUAUUGCACAAGGGGCGGAAGCCUGAUGCAGCAACGCCGCGUGCGGGAUGACGGCCUUCGGGUUGUAAACCGCCUUCGCCUGUGACGAAGCGUGAGUGACGGUAAUGGGUAAAGAAGCACCGGCUAACUACG
This 466-nucleotide ribosomal RNA is filed under the name uncultured bacterium. Its description in RNAcentral is "partial 16S ribosomal RNA". It matches the Rfam family "Bacterial small subunit ribosomal RNA", at positions 28 to 505 of the family's 1533-position model. The record is from RNAcentral.